This 4007-nucleotide long non-coding RNA is filed under the name Numida meleagris (helmeted guineafowl). Its description in RNAcentral is "lncRNA (ENSNMEG00000002400.1)". Lineage: Eukaryota; Metazoa; Chordata; Aves; Galliformes; Numididae. The record is from RNAcentral.
UUCCCUUCCAUUCCCUUCCAUUCCCUUGCUCUCCCUCCACACUACACCCCCAUUUUCCCUUCCCUUCCACUCCCUUCCAUUCCCUUGCUCUCCCUUCCCACUACAUCCCCCAUUUCCCUUCCCUUCCCUUCCAUUCCAUGCUCUCCCUUGCAUACCAUUCCCACUACACCCCCCAUUUCCCCUCCCUUCCAUUCCCUUUAUCUCCCUUCCCCCUACACCCCCCAUUUCCCUUCCCUUCCAUUCCCUUGCUCUAUCUUCCCACUACACACGCCUUUUCCCUUCCCGUCCUUUCCCUUGCUUUCCCUUCCCACUUCAUUCCCCAUUUCCCUUCCCUUCCAUUCCCUACAAUUCCCUUUCUCUCCCUUCCUCUCCCUUCCCACUACACCCCCCAAUUACCUUCCCUUCCAUUUGCUUACUCUUCCUUCCCAAUACACCCCCAAUUCCCUUCCCAUCCAUUCCCUUGCUCUCCCUUCCCGCUACACACCCCAUUUCCCUUCCUUUCCAUUCCCUUGCUCUCCCUUCCCACUACACCCACCAUUUCCCUUCCCACCCAUUCCCUUCCUCCCUCUUUCCACUACACCCUGCAUUUCCCUUCCCUUCCAUUCCCUUCCAUUCCCUUCCAUUCCCUUGCUCUCCCUUCCCUCUACUACCCGCAUUUCCUUUCCCUUCCAUUCCCAUAUUCUCCCUUCCCACUACACUCCCCUUUUACCUUCACUCCCAUUCCCUUCCUCUCCCUUGCUCUCUCUCUCCACUACACCCGCCAUUUCCCUUGCCUUCCAUUCCCUUCCACUCCCUUCCAUUCACUUGGUCUCCCUUCCCACUACAACCCGCAUUUCCUUUCCCUUCCAUUCCCUUAUUCCCUUCCCAGUACACUCCCCUUUUCCCUUCCCUUCCAUUCCCUUACCUUACCUUCAGUUCCCUUGCUCUCCCACCCCACUGCACCACCCUUUUUCCUUCCCUCCCAUUCCUUUCUAUUUUCUUGCUCUCCCAUCCCACUUCAACCCCAUUUCCCUACCCUUCCAUUCCCUUCUAUUCCCUUGCUCUCCCUUCCCACUGCAGCAACAUUUCCCUUCCAUUCCAUUCCCUUGCUCUCCCUUCCCACUACAGCCCCCAUUUACCUUCCCUACCAUUCCCUUGGUCUCCGUUGCAUCCUCCUCGCACUCCACCCCCCAUUUUUCUUCCCUUCCAUUCCCUUUAUCUCCCUUCCCACUACACCUCCCAUUUCCCUUCCCUUCCAUUCCCUUGCUCUCCCUUCCCACUAUACCCCAGAUUUCCCUUCCCUUCCCUUCACUUCCGUUCCCUUGCUCUCCCUUUCCACUACUACCACCAUUUCCCCUCCCUUCCAUUCCCUUCCAUAACCGUGCUCUCUCUUCCCAGUACACCUCCCUUUUCCCUUCCCUUCCAUUCCCGGGCAUUCCCUUCCAUUCACCUUCUACCCCUUCCCACUGCACCCCCCUUUUCCCUUCCCUUCCAUUCCCUUCCUCUCUUCCCACUACACUCCCCUUUUCCAUUCCAUUCCAUUCCCUUUACUUACCUUCAAUUGCCUCGCUCUCCCUCCCCAGUACACCCCUUAUUUCCCUUCCCUUCCAUUCCCUUCAAAUUCCUUGCUCUCUCAUCCCACUACACCCCCAAUUUCCCUUCCCGUCCAUUCCCUUCCAUUCCCUUCCAUUCACUUGCUCUCCGUUCCCACUUCUCCCCGCAUUUCCCUUCCCUUCCAUUCCCUUAUUCUCCCUUCACACUACACUCCCCUUUUACCUUCCCUUCCAUUCUCUUCCUUUACCUUGUAUUCCCUUGCUCUCCCUCCCCAAUACACCCCCCUUUUCCUUUGCCUCCCAUUCCCUUCCAUUCCCUUUCUCUCCCUUCGCUCUAUACACCCCAUUUCCCUUCCCUUCUAUUCCCUAUCUCUCCCUUCCCACAACAAAACCCCCCGUUUGACUUCCCUUCCAUUCCCUUCCCUUCCAUUCCAUUCCCUUCCAUUCCAUUUCUCUACCUUCCCACAGCAACCCCAUUUCCCUUCCCUUCCAUUCCCUUCCACUCCCUACCCACUACUCCCCCCAUUUCCCUUACCUUCCAUUCCCUUCAAUUCCCUUGCUCUCCCUUCCCACUACAACCCCCGUUUCCCUUCCCUUCUAUUCCCUUCCAUUCUCUUGCUCUCCCUUCCCAGUACAACCCCUAUUUCCCUUCCCUUCCAUUCUCUUGCUCUCCCUUCCCACUACACCCCCAUUUCCCUUCCCUUCCUUUCCCUUGCUCUCCCUUCCCACUUCAUCCCCCAUUUCCCUUCCCUUCCAUUCCCUUCAAGUCCUUUGCUGUCCCUUGCUCUCCCUUCCCACUUCCCCCCCCGUUUCACUUCCCUUCAAUUUCGUUGCACUCCCUUCCCACUAUUCCCCCCAUUUCCCUUCCCUUCCAUUCCCUUGCUCUCCCUUCUCACUACACCCCCCAUUUCCCUUUCCUUCCAUUCCCUUUGCUCUUCCUUCCCACUAUACCCCACAUUUCCCUUCCAUUCCCUUCCAUUCCCUUGCUCUCCUUUCCCACUACAUCCCCCAUUUCCCUUCCCUUCCAUUCCUUUCAAUACCCUUCCUCUGCAUUCCUCUCCUUUCCCACUACAACCCCAUUUAACUUUCCUUCCAUUCCCUUGCUCUCCCUUUCCACUACAUCCCCCAUUUCCCUUCCCUUCCAUUCCCUUGCUCUCCACUCCCACUAUACAACCCAUCUCCCUUCCCUUUGUUUCCAUUCCUUUCUCUCCCUUGCAUACCCCUCCCAGUACACCCCCCAUUUCCCUUCCCUUCCAUUCCCUUUUUCUCCCUUCCCACUACACCCGCCAUUUCCCAUCCCUUCCUUUCCUUUCCUCUCCCUCCGCACUAUACCCCACCUUUCCCUUCCCUUCCAUUCCCUUGGUCUCACAUCCCACUACACCUCCCUAUUCCCUUCAUUCCAUUCCCUUCCUUUCCCUUCCAUUCCCGUGCUCUCCCUCCCCACUACACACCCCUUUUUGCCUUCCAUUCCAUUCCCUUCCAUUCCCUUCCUUUCCCUUGCUCUCCCUUCCCCCUACACUCCCCUUUGCCCUUCCCUUCCAUUCCCUUCCUCUCCCUUGCUCUCCCUUCCCACUACACCCCCCAUUUCCCUUCCUUUCCAUUCCCUUCCAUUCCCUUCCAUUCCGUUGCACUCCCUUCGCACUGCAACCCCAUUUCCCGUCCCUUCCAUUCGUUUCCGCUCCCUUCCCCUUACUACCCCCAUUUCCAUUCCCUUCCAUUCCCUUACUCUCCCUCCCCACUACACCCCGCUUUUACCUGCCCUUCCAUUCCCUUCCAUUCCCUUGCUCUCCCCUCCCAGAAAUACCCCCAUUUCCCUUCCCUUCUUUUCCCAUGUUCUCCAUUCUCACUAUACCCACCAUUUCCCUUCCCUUCCCUUCCAUUCCCUUGCUCUCCCUUGCAACCCCCUCGCACUACACUCCCCAUUUCCCUUCCCUUCCGUUCCCUUUAUCUCCCUUCCCUCUACAUCCCCCAUUUCCCUUCCCUUCCAUUCCCUUUGCUCUCCCUUCCCACUACACCCCCCUUUUCCUUUCCCAACCCUUACCUUCCAUCCCCUUCCAUUCACUUCCUCUCCUUUCCAACUAUACCCCAUUUCCCUUUCCUUCCUUUCCCAUUCUCUCCCUUCCCACUACAUCCCCCAUUUCCCUUCCCUUCCAUUCCCUUUGCUCUCCCUUCCCACUACACCCCCCUUUUCCUUUCCCAACCCUUACCUUCCAUUCCCUUCCAUUCACUUCCUCUCCUUUCCAACUAUACCCCAUUUCCCUUUCCUUCCUUUCCCAUUCUCUCUCUUCCCACUACAUUCCCCUUUUCCCUUCCCUUCCCUUUCCUUACCUUCAGUUCCCUUGCUCUGCCUCCCCACUACACCCCCUUUUCCCUUCCUUUCCGUUCCCUUCCAUUCCCUAUCUCUCCCUUCCCGUUACACACCCCAUUUCCGUUCCCUUCCAUUCCCUAUCUCUCCCUUCCCUUCCCUUCCCUUCC